GCACUGCUAGUUCAGCAGUAGAAUUCUCCCCUUACAUGCGGGAGACGCAGGUUCAAUUCCUGGCCAAUGUA
RNAcentral lists this transfer RNA (71 nucleotides) under Loxodonta africana (African savanna elephant). It matches the Rfam family "tRNA". Rfam says of the family: Transfer RNA (tRNA) molecules are approximately 80 nucleotides in length. Lineage: Eukaryota; Metazoa; Chordata; Mammalia; Proboscidea; Elephantidae. The record is from Rfam by way of RNAcentral.